Molecule: ribosomal RNA, 1554 nt
Filed under: Salmonella enterica subsp. enterica serovar Kentucky
Lineage: Bacteria; Pseudomonadati; Pseudomonadota; Gammaproteobacteria; Enterobacterales; Enterobacteriaceae
Description: bacterial SSU rRNA
Rfam family: Bacterial small subunit ribosomal RNA
Source: RNAcentral
AAAUUGAAGAGUUUGAUCAUGGCUCAGAUUGAACGCUGGCGGCAGGCCUAACACAUGCAAGUCGAACGGUAACAGGAAGCAGCUUGCUGCUUUGCUGACGAGUGGCGGACGGGUGAGUAAUGUCUGGGAAACUGCCUGAUGGAGGGGGAUAACUACUGGAAACGGUGGCUAAUACCGCAUAACGUCGCAAGACCAAAGAGGGGGACCUUCGGGCCUCUUGCCAUCAGAUGUGCCCAGAUGGGAUUAGCUGGUUGGUGAGGUAACGGCUCACCAAGGCGACGAUCCCUAGCUGGUCUGAGAGGAUGACCAGCCACACUGGAACUGAGACACGGUCCAGACUCCUACGGGAGGCAGCAGUGGGGAAUAUUGCACAAUGGGCGCAAGCCUGAUGCAGCCAUGCCGCGUGUAUGAAGAAGGCCUUCGGGUUGUAAAGUACUUUCAGCGGGGAGGAAGGUGUUGUGGUUAAUAACCGCAGCAAUUGACGUUACCCGCAGAAGAAGCACCGGCUAACUCCGUGCCAGCAGCCGCGGUAAUACGGAGGGUGCAAGCGUUAAUCGGAAUUACUGGGCGUAAAGCGCACGCAGGCGGUCUGUCAAGUCGGAUGUGAAAUCCCCGGGCUCAACCUGGGAACUGCAUUCGAAACUGGCAGGCUUGAGUCUUGUAGAGGGGGGUAGAAUUCCAGGUGUAGCGGUGAAAUGCGUAGAGAUCUGGAGGAAUACCGGUGGCGAAGGCGGCCCCCUGGACAAAGACUGACGCUCAGGUGCGAAAGCGUGGGGAGCAAACAGGAUUAGAUACCCUGGUAGUCCACGCCGUAAACGAUGUCUACUUGGAGGUUGUGCCCUUGAGGCGUGGCUUCCGGAGCUAACGCGUUAAGUAGACCGCCUGGGGAGUACGGCCGCAAGGUUAAAACUCAAAUGAAUUGACGGGGGCCCGCACAAGCGGUGGAGCAUGUGGUUUAAUUCGAUGCAACGCGAAGAACCUUACCUGGUCUUGACAUCCACAGAACUUUCCAGAGAUGGAUUGGUGCCUUCGGGAACUGUGAGACAGGUGCUGCAUGGCUGUCGUCAGCUCGUGUUGUGAAAUGUUGGGUUAAGUCCCGCAACGAGCGCAACCCUUAUCCUUUGUUGCCAGCGGUUAGGCCGGGAACUCAAAGGAGACUGCCAGUGAUAAACUGGAGGAAGGUGGGGAUGACGUCAAGUCAUCAUGGCCCUUACGACCAGGGCUACACACGUGCUACAAUGGCGCAUACAAAGAGAAGCGACCUCGCGAGAGCAAGCGGACCUCAUAAAGUGCGUCGUAGUCCGGAUUGGAGUCUGCAACUCGACUCCAUGAAGUCGGAAUCGCUAGUAAUCGUGGAUCAGAAUGCCACGGUGAAUACGUUCCCGGGCCUUGUACACACCGCCCGUCACACCAUGGGAGUGGGUUGCAAAAGAAGUAGGUAGCUUAACCUUCGGGAGGGCGCUUACCACUUUGUGAUUCAUGACUGGGGUGAAGUCGUAACAAGGUAACCGUAGGGGAACCUGCGGUUGGAUCACCUCCUUACCUUAAAGAAGC